This is a long non-coding RNA of Hippocampus comes (tiger tail seahorse), 1216 nucleotides long. RefSeq lists it as uncharacterized. The transcript has 5 exons. The record is from RefSeq and is a predicted model, not a curated record. NCBI's taxonomy places the organism in Eukaryota, Metazoa, Chordata, Actinopteri, Syngnathiformes, Syngnathidae.
CUUGUUUCUCUCCCAAAAAAAAAACAAACAAUCUUGGAAAAACAAACCAACAGCACCUCCUUUUUCUCUUGUCGCUCCUCAAACGUGAGCCUGAUGUGGACUCGACUUCAUUCCCGUGAAGCUUUGUGGCGAGAGUACCUUUCACGCAGCCAGCUGGGCUGCAAGAUGCCAGCGGGUUCCCCAGCUUUUUCCACAUCCACAAUAAAUCGUCGUGGACCUCCGACGCCAUUGGUUCUUUACUUUGGACUCAAGUCUUUGGGAGAAGGAAGUGAAGUCCAAAAAGGAUGCAGCGUUCCCUGGCUUCGCUCCAGCGGGACCAAAUUGGGUGACAAAGUCAUUCCGCCACGGCGUUGCUGAGGUUAAGAAGCCUUCAGUGCGCUUGGGAGACAACAUUGAAGAUGAAGAGCAGGCCAACGAUGGGAGGAGGACAAUGAGGAGGAGGAAGAGUGAGCAGCAGGCCGCCUCUCAAGAGCCGCGGGUGCCUUUAUUUUUAAACCCACCACUCGAUUGUUUGCUAACGCCGAGAUGGAGAUAGAGAUGGAACGUCUCGUGGGACAUUUACACGCAAUUCAUGAGAAAGUGAGAUACCUGCCUGACUUUCAGCCACUCUCAUUUAUUGAUUGUACACGUAAUGAGGAGCGUGGCCUAUUCAUGAAUCUAAUUGUUUUCAUUAAUAGACCGAACGCCUCAUCAGUUUACACAUGCAACAGAGUUGCCCUCACGACUCAGUUCAUUCAAAAUGCUUUCAUUAAUAUGCCACACUCCCAGUUAAUUUUUGUUUUCAUUAUUAUGCCACCCUGUAAUUAAUUUGUUUUCAUUCAUAGGGCACACGUCUCAGCAGAUUGGACACCUGAUGAGGAGCGUGGCCGAUCACUUAAUUCGAAUGCUUUCAUCGAAAUGCCACGCUUCAAUGAAAUUACGUUUUCCUGAAUAUGCCAAGCCCUUCAUCCGAUAGGAAGGGUGACCGACUGUAGUUUGAUGACUGAACUUGACCUGGAAAAAGUAACUUAUUCAAUUUAUAAUGAGAGAAUGUGCACAAUUUGGAGCAACCUGUUAGUAAUGCAUUGCUAACAUCACUGGCAAGAAUGAGGUUGUCGUCAUUUAGAUUCGCAGCCGGACGACCUUAGCCCACGUCUCCUUUGAAAGGGAUUUUAAAGGGGAAGUCAACCCCCCAAAUUUCUUUACCGUUAUAUGUGCCUCGACUAGUCUAAACACG